This 601-nucleotide ribosomal RNA is filed under the name Trichalus sp. BM0101. RNAcentral's name for it is "partial 16S ribosomal RNA". It matches the Rfam family "Bacterial large subunit ribosomal RNA", at positions 1816 to 2713 of the family's 2925-position model. The record is from RNAcentral. RNAcentral also lists the same sequence under 2 other names. Lineage: Eukaryota; Metazoa; Arthropoda; Insecta; Coleoptera; Lycidae.
CAUGUCCUUUUGAUUUUAAUUUAAGGUCUAAUCUGCUCAAUGAAUAUUAAAUAGCCGCAGUAUUUUAACUGUGCAAAGGUAGCAUAAUAAUUAGUUUCUUGAUUAGGAACUGGAAUGAAUGAUUGGACAAGAAAAUUGCUGUCUCUUUUUUAAAUUUUUUGAAUUUUAUUUUUAAGUGAAAAAGCUUAAAUUUUUAUAGAAGACGAGAAGACCCUAUAGAGUUUAAUAUUAUUUUACAAUCUGAAUUUAGAAUUAAUUUUUGUAUAAUUUUAUUUGGUUGGGGUGAUUUAAGGAUUAAAUAAAUUCUUUAAUUUAUUAAUUGAUGAUAUUUAAAUUUUAAAUCUAUAUUUUAUAAAUAUAAAAUAAAUUACCUUAGGGAUAACAGCGUAAUUUUUCUUUAAAGUUCACAUUAAAAGAAAAGUUUGCGACCUCGAUGUUGGAUUAAAAUUAAUUUUUGGUGCAAUAAUUUAAAAAUUAGGUCUGUUCGACCUUUAAAAUUUUACAUGAUCUGAGUUUAAACCGGUGUGAGCCAGGUUGGAUUCUAUCUUUAGAAAAUUAAUAUAUUUUAGUACGAAAGGACCAAGUAUAUAUUAAAUUAAUU